UACAGAGGGUGCAAGCGUUAAUCGGAUUUACUGGGCGUAAAGCGUGCGUAGGCGGUUCGCUAAGUCGGUUGUGAAAUCCCUGGGCUUAACCUGGGAACUGCAGUCGAUACUGGCGGACUAGAGUACGGUAGAGGGUGGCGGAACUCCGGGUGUAGCGGUGAAAUGCGUAGAUAUCCGGAAGAACACCGAUGGCGAAGGCAACCACCUGGGCCUGUACUGACGCUGAGAUACGAAAGCGUGGGGAGCAAACAGG
Molecule: ribosomal RNA, 253 nt
Filed under: uncultured bacterium
Lineage: Bacteria
Description: partial 16S ribosomal RNA
Rfam family: Bacterial small subunit ribosomal RNA
Source: RNAcentral